Molecule: ribosomal RNA, 253 nt
Filed under: uncultured bacterium
Lineage: Bacteria
Description: partial 16S ribosomal RNA
Rfam family: Bacterial small subunit ribosomal RNA
Source: RNAcentral
UACGAAGGGAGCUAGCGUUGUUCGGAAUCACUGGGCGUAAAGCGCACGUAGGCGGAUGUGUCAGUCAGAGGUGAAAUCCCGGAGCUCAACUUCGGAACUGCCUUUGAUACAGCACGCCUUGAGUCCGAUAGAGGUGGGUGGAAUUCCUAGUGUAGAGGUGAAAUUCGUAGAUAUUAGGAAGAACACCGGUGGCGAAGGCGGCCCACUGGAUCGGUACUGACGCUGAGGUGCGAAAGCGUGGGGAGCAAACAGG